Glycine soja is the source of this 966-nucleotide long non-coding RNA. RefSeq lists it as uncharacterized. Lineage: Eukaryota; Viridiplantae; Streptophyta; Magnoliopsida; Fabales; Fabaceae. The transcript has 5 exons. The record is from RefSeq and is a predicted model, not a curated record.
UGUAGUACAAAGUGCGAAUCUAUUCCAGUACUAUCUUCACAUUAAAAACAGUACACAAGUUAAUGAUGAGAGAGAGGGGUAGGUGCUUUUUCUGAUACCGAGGAGGACAUAAGCCCAAACAAACGAAACUACAAUUUAACUUCACGAGUAGGGGUUCAUGCAACAAAAUCAGGAGCUAAGUAUCCCAUUGCAGCACUAACUUUUUGAGCCGAGAAAAGAACAUCAUCUGCAACAAGCUUAGGUAGUCCUGCAUCCAUGAUCAAUGGGUUAAAUUGAUGGUCUAGGAGAACAUUUUCCACUGAAAUAUUCUGGUGAACUAUUGUAGAAGGAGAGAAGACACAAGAAUUUUUAUCUGUUGUUGCCUCUUCACAUAAUCCCCGUGCCAUCUUAAAUUUCAGAGUUUUGCUCAAGGAAACCUUUGUUGUGAGCCUGUUGAGGAACUCGUGACUAGUGUUAAUUCUUUAAGGUUUUGAUGGUUGUUUGUUAGAUCCAGAAACAAAGCUAAAAGGAAGGGGAAAAUGAUCUUUUAAUGAAGGUUUUUGACCCUAAAUUUGCCCAGACUAGCAUCUAGCUUGCUUGGGCAAAAGAGAAAACUUUAGCCCUAAGCAAGUCACUCGCCUGGGUGAGCUGAUACCUUCAGCCCUAAGCAAGCAGCUCGCCUAGGUGAGCUCCAACUCGUUUGGGCAAGUUUCCCUUGCACUAGAUGGCUUUUUCUAUAAAUAGCCAUGUAGGUGAAGAGAAGAACCAGAGAAAAAUGUAGAAAAAGAAGAAGAAUAAGAGAAAAAGUGGAACCGAGGCACUGCAGAGUUGUGACCGUGGAUCACUUCCUUCGUCAUUUCUCUUGUUAGUCUUGUACUCUGCACAAUGAUCGAUUAGUUUCUCUAAAGGAUUGGAUGUAAUCUUUGUACCCUAUGUAUCUCUUUUGAUAUUAUAUAUGUAUUAAUCUUUUCUACUCAUUAUUGGUAA